RNAcentral lists this ribosomal RNA (324 nucleotides) under uncultured bacterium. Its description in RNAcentral is "bacterial SSU rRNA". It matches the Rfam family "Bacterial small subunit ribosomal RNA", at positions 28 to 334 of the family's 1533-position model. The record is from RNAcentral.
GACGAACGCUGGCGGCGUGCUUAACACAUGCAAGUCGAACGGAGUUCCUUGGAUAGAGGCUUCGGCCAAUUGAAUUGGAACUUAGUGGCGGACUGGUGAGUAACGCGUGAGGAACCUGCCUUUCAGAGGGGGACAACAGUUGGAAACGACUGCUAAUACCGCAUGACACAUUCAGGUGGCAUCACUUGAAUGUCAAAGAUUUUAUCGCUGAAAGAUGGCCUCGCAUCUGAUUAGCCAGUUGGUAGGGUAACGGCCUACCAAGGCGACGAUCAGUAGCCGGACUGAGAGGUUGACCGGCCACAUUGGGACUGAGAUACGGCCCAG